This 63-nucleotide transfer RNA is filed under the name Platerodrilus sp. MNCN/DNA:86739. Its description in RNAcentral is "tRNA-Met". Lineage: Eukaryota; Metazoa; Arthropoda; Insecta; Coleoptera; Lycidae. The record is from RNAcentral.
AAAAAGAUAAGCUAAAUAAAGCUUUUGGGUUCAUGCCUCAAAUAUAAAGAAAUUUUCUUUUUA